This is an RNA transcript of Arachis stenosperma, 1048 nucleotides long. RefSeq lists it as uncharacterized. The record is from RefSeq and is a predicted model, not a curated record. NCBI's taxonomy places the organism in Eukaryota, Viridiplantae, Streptophyta, Magnoliopsida, Fabales, Fabaceae. The transcript has 3 exons.
AUUAAUGUUGUCCACAUAUUCUUGCAGCUUUGUCACUACAUCCUUCACACUGAACAAAGUAUUAGACCGCAGGAUAUGCUUGAAAAAUCAUUGAAAUAUCUGAUUCUCACAUGUUUUCUUCUACCUUUAAGCUAUCGAGGAGCUGAUGUAUUCCUGCUAGCAUUCUCUCUCAUAAGCAGGGCUAGCUAUGAAAAUGUUGCCAAGAAAUGGAUUCCUGAGUUGAGGCAUUAUGCUCCUGGUGUUCCAAUUAUUCUUGUUAGAACAAAACUUGGGAUGCCCUAGCCAUAAAGCACCUGCAUCUGAAGACAAAAAGGGGAAUAAUUCGAGUUCCACUUUGCAGGCUGGUUUACCUCUCAAACUCAGGUCAUGAAUGAGUCUCAAGCGAGAAACAAGAAUGAAGAGAUAAUAGCAAAGGUCACAAACUGGAGCACCCCUAAGGAGCACGACCCUCUGAAGAGCCUCUUAGGUGAGGCUGCUCACAGCCACAGCCCAAGUUCUCCAAAUUUGGAAGAAAACUUGGCAAGCAGAAAGAAUAGUAAACUUCCACAAAACAAUGGUUCUGGAUUGACAACUGUUAACUCCAUUCUAGGUCCUGAUUCGCCUUCAGCUCAAUCUCUGAUAAACGACGCUGCAAAAGAAUGGAACUCACCGGCAAGAUAUCCUACGGAAAUGAAGAGGGAAAAGAGGAAAGCCAAGAGCAGACCAUAUUGGAUACAAUUAGUAUGUUGCUCAUCAGUGGAUCUUCAGAGAAGGCAAAAACUGCCAUAUGAUGGUUAUGGUUAUAGUUAUAGUUAUUUUCAUGCUAUUUGGGGUCUUGUCUGCUUCUAGAGUUGAGAUACAUAUUUUGAUCAUGCGUCUCAUUCUAUUGAACUGGGUAGCCUCCUAUUCUAUUGAACUGGGUAGCCUCCUAGAAGUUUGGUUGUAUAUUUGAAGCAUGUUCAGUUGCCAUUAUUGUUUAUGUUAUUUUAAUGUAUCAUUAUCAUGGCUUUGGUGCCUUGUUAUAUAUUGAAAAUUAAGAAAACGUUGUGAUCUUGUGAGCUUUACAAGU